This 73-nucleotide transfer RNA is filed under the name Candidatus Woesearchaeota archaeon. RNAcentral's name for it is "tRNA-His". It matches the Rfam family "tRNA". From Rfam's summary of the family: Transfer RNA (tRNA) molecules are approximately 80 nucleotides in length. Lineage: Archaea; Nanobdellati; Candidatus Woesearchaeota. The record is from RNAcentral.
GUGGCCGUGGUGUAGUCUGGCAGCACAAAGGACUGUGGAUCCUUUAGCCCGGGUUCAAAUCCCGGCGGUCACC